This 320-nucleotide long non-coding RNA is filed under the name Trifolium pratense (red clover). RNAcentral's name for it is "long non-coding RNA (TPRA_LNC005369)". The record is from RNAcentral. Lineage: Eukaryota; Viridiplantae; Streptophyta; Magnoliopsida; Fabales; Fabaceae.
AAUAUGAAAUUGAUUUUUUUAAUGAGAAAAAAAAACAGAAAAAUUAAAAAUUAACUUAACACAAAAAAACUACAAGAGUGAUUUUAUUGAAGAUAAAACAUAAAAAUUAAAAAACGCAGUCCCCAGCAGGAUUUGAACACACGCUAUUUCAGUAUAUAAAUGGCAUAUGGCAGCUGGGACAAUAGCAAUACUAUGAUACAGAAUCGCAUCAACUUAUAUAUGUCUUAUAGACCGAUAAAUUUAUAUAUAUAGGGGUCCCCUACUAAUUUUCAUUUUUUUGGGGUGGGCCAUGGCCCAUCUUGGCCACCCCUGGCUCCGCU